UCUAAAUUGAAAUAAAAUUGCUAAAUUAGUAAUAGUUAGUUACUUAAAAGUUAAAAAAUUUGGCGGUGACUCAAUCCUCCCAGAGGAACUUGUUUCUUAAACGAUAAGCCACGCAAAAUCUUACUUAUCCUUGUAAGAAGCAGCUUGUAUACCAUCAUUAUCAGGUAAUUUUAAAAGAAAAAAUUACUAAAUAAGAAUUAUUAUAAAAAUUAGAUCAUGGUGCAGCGUAUGGAUAAGUUGAAAUGAGUUACAUUAAAUUAUUUUAUAUGAAAUUGCAAAGGAAUGCAUUGCAAUGAAGGCGGAUUUGGUUGUAUUCUUAAUUUAAUAAGUUAAUAGGAUAUUGGUUCUGAGUCAUGUACAUAUCGCCCGUCGCUUUCGU
Molecule: ribosomal RNA, 379 nt
Filed under: Pachygrapsus transversus (mottled shore crab)
Lineage: Eukaryota; Metazoa; Arthropoda; Malacostraca; Decapoda; Grapsidae
Description: partial 12S ribosomal RNA
Source: RNAcentral